This 492-nucleotide ribosomal RNA is filed under the name uncultured bacterium. RNAcentral describes it as "partial 16S ribosomal RNA". It matches the Rfam family "Bacterial small subunit ribosomal RNA", at positions 29 to 507 of the family's 1533-position model. The record is from RNAcentral.
AGUGAACGCUGGCGGUAGGCCUAACACAUGCAAGUCGAACGGCAGCACAGUAAGAGCUUGCUCUUAUGGGGGGCGAGUGGCGGACGGGUGAGGAAUACAUCGGAAUCUACUUUUUCGUGGGGGAUAACGUAGGGAAACGUACGCUAAUACCGCAUACGACCUACGGGUGAAAGCAGGAGAGCUUCGGACCUUGCUCGAGUCACUGAGCCGAUGUCGGAUUAGCUAGUUGGCGGGGUAAAGGCCCACCAAGGCAACGAUCCGUAGCAGGUCUGAGAGGAUGAUCAGCCACACUGGAACUGAGACACGGUCCAGACUCCUACGGGAGGCAGCAGUGGGGAAUAUUGGACAAUGGGCGCAAGCCUGAUGCAGCCAUGCCGCGUGGGUGAAGAAGGCCUUCGGGUUGUAAAGCCCUUUUGUUGGGAAAGAAAAGCAGCAGGUUAAUACCCCGCUGUUCUGACGGUACCCAAAGAAUAAGCACCGGCUAACUUCGUG